GUUCCUGUAGUGUAGUGGUUAUCAUGUUUGCUUUACAUGCAAAAGGUAUCUGGUUCAAAACCAGACAGAAAUG
RNAcentral lists this transfer RNA (73 nucleotides) under Poecilia formosa (Amazon molly). It matches the Rfam family "tRNA". Rfam says of the family: Transfer RNA (tRNA) molecules are approximately 80 nucleotides in length. Their secondary structure includes four short double-helical elements and three loops (D, anti-codon, and T loops). Lineage: Eukaryota; Metazoa; Chordata; Actinopteri; Cyprinodontiformes; Poeciliidae. The record is from Rfam by way of RNAcentral.